RNAcentral lists this ribosomal RNA (692 nucleotides) under Kerria sp. P HC-2011. RNAcentral's name for it is "bacterial SSU rRNA". It matches the Rfam family "Eukaryotic small subunit ribosomal RNA", at positions 19 to 563 of the family's 1831-position model. Lineage: Eukaryota; Metazoa; Arthropoda; Insecta; Hemiptera; Tachardiidae. The record is from RNAcentral.
AGUAGUCAUAUGCUUGUCUCAAAGAUUAAGCCAUGCAUGUCUCAGUGCAAGCCGUCCUGUACGGUGAAACCGCGAAAGGCUCAUUAAAUCAGUUAUGGUUCCUUAGAUCGUAUAACCCACGUUACUUGGAUAACUGUGGUAAUUCUAGAGCUAAUACAUGCCGACAAGAGUUCCGACCAGCGUAUUUGUUGUACGGCGACGCGCGACGUCUACUGUCGUCGUCGUCGGCGCUUAAACGUUCGGAAGGAACGCUUUUAUUAGAUCAAAACCGGCCAAGCGAUCGAAUGUUUAUUAAAGUUGGGCGCACCGCAUCGCGCGCGUGCGUCUCCAACAAGUUCGGUCGUAAGUGCCCCGCGCAAAGACUUGACGACUCUGAAUAACUUUGAGCUGAUCGCACGGUCUUCGUACCGGCGACGUAUCUUUCAAAUGUCUGCCUUAUCAACUGUCGACGGUAGGUUCGACGCCUACCGUGGUGGUAACGGGUAACGGGGAAUCAGGGUUCGAUUCCGGAGAGGGAGCCUGAGAAACGGCUACCACAUCCAAGGAAGGCAGCAGGCGCGCAAAUUACCCACUCCCAGCUCGGGGAGGUAGUGACGAAAAAUAACGAUACGGGACUCUUCCGAGGCCCCGUAAUCGGAAUGAGUACACUUUAAAACCUUGGUCACACGAGGAUCAAUUGGAGGGCAAGUCUG